AUGUUUUUUGAUAAUUUUGGUUAUUGAUUUUUAUUUCUAUUUGAAGCAUGGGCACAUCAAAGGCAUAAUUAUAUAAUUAACACUUUCUAAAGUUUACUUAUAAUGGUUUAGUGGUCAUAAAUACAGCUUUUCAAAAUAGUAAAAAGUAAAAUACAACUAUGUGUCUCUUUAUAUCUCACCUGUCCUGUGUUUAAUGAGGUUUCUCUGUAAUGGUUUAAAUUGCAGUAAUACAUUGGUAUACUAGUACAGGCUCAUUAUUUCAUGUUCUGUAUUUAUUAAUGUCAGUGUUUCCCACACAUAGACUUAUAUUUUGAAAGACAUUUUUGCUUGUAUUAUUUUUAUCCUCUAAUACUUUUGUGUCUGCCCGAGAUAAUGAAACCAUCUGCAAUCGAUUAACUAGUGGAAAAUCUCCCCUCGCCCUACACAUUUCGUACAUGCUCGUUCUGUGCUGACAUUCCCAUGUGCGCUGCAGAGACGCGGUGGAUAUUUCACAAAGGGCUCGACAGUGCGGGCGCUUCUGUGUGCAAACUGUAAAAUGUAUUUAGGAGCAUGUGUGGGAAUAAAGCAAAAUCCCUCCAGGUAAGUUUCCUUAAAUUUAAUGUCAUGAAAACUCUUCAAUACAUUAAAUGGUAAAACAAACAUCUUAAUGAUCAUUUCAAUACGUCUUAUAUUUUGGGAAUGGAAAAACAUUAAUAAUCAAUAGGCUGUAUCGUGAUUUAACUUCAAAAAGCUAUGAUUUCAUUUAAAAAAAAAUAAAUAAAAAGAGCACUGCACGUUGCAAAAUCACAAGGCGACGCUUUUGCGCGUUCUACAGGCUUGCGCAAUGGCGCUUCAGACUGCUUCAAAGUGUUUCCCAAUCAAUGAAUAGCGCACAUUUAUGCCAAGCGAUUUCUAAUGAACUCGAGUUGAUGAAUUAUGACAAUGUCUGCUUUACGGCCUUUAUAUAUGUCAGGACACAGACAGAGGCAGAGGGGUAAGUGAACACAGAUGUUUAUUGAAUAGAGGCACGAACACAGGUAAACGGUGGAUGCAGGUGAGUCAAUGAACAAGCACUUUCAGAACAGUCACUUAGCUGAAGGAUAACAGAGGUUUGUCUUUGCAGGUGGAGGAAUCAACGUGGAGCGGAGAACAGGAGAUGGAAGACAACUGGAUGAAGACACGGGUAACUCAGGUAAGUAGCGGGUAAGGAGUCCAGGUACGUGAGACAAGACCAGACAAUGAUGUGAAGGGAUUGAGUGUCUUUAUAGUGUCCUAGAUGAUGUUGUGCGGGUGCAGGUGAUUAGUACUCGGGAGGCUGUGAACGAGUGGGUGGAGCGUGAAGAUCUGGUGACGAUGCGUUGGUGUUGGUGGGUGUUGGCUGUAACUCCGUGACAGUACCCCCCCUCCACGGGCGGCUCCUGACGACAGGAUGGGGCGACGACGACGGGGUCUACCUCGACCCCGGGGAGCAGGGCGGUCCGGAUGUUCAGCGUGAAAUUGAGUGAGGAGCGAGGGGUCGAGGAUGUCGUGAUGGUUGACCCAGGAAUGUUCCUCUGGGCCAAAGUCUUCCCAGUCGAUGAGGUAAUCAAUCUGGGGACCCACACUCUCUCGCUCUGCUGGAACCAGUGGUUGACAGCUGGAACCUCUGAGGGCUCACCAGACCAGAGGAAGAGAGGUGGUUGGUAGCCCAGGAUACACUGGAACAGGGUGAGCCCUGUGGUGGUCUGCCGAAGGGAAUUCUGUGGGAAGGCCCUUGAGGGGUAUGAGUUUACAAGCCUUGGAGAAUCGGUCCACGAUUACCAGCACACAGGUGAAGUUGUUUGAUGGUGGUAAGUCUGUCAUGAAGUCAUUUCCCAGGUGUGUCCACGGUCUGCGAGGUAUAGGUAAGGGAACCAGUUUACCCUCAGGAAGCCUCCUAGGAGUGUUGGCAACGGCACAGUCUGAGCAUCCUCCGAUGUAGCGGGAGACAUCCUGAGUCAUGGAGGGCCACCAGUAGUGUUGCAGCAGGAGCAAGAGGGUACGUGAACUGCCUGGGUGUCCAGAGCCCAAAGGGGUUGAGCCCAUUGCAGCGCUCGUCCAGAGAGCAGGGAGACUACGAACGCCACCCGGGAUCGCUCGGAUGAGAAGAGUUGAGACUGGGCUUCCAGAUAGAGCAAGCACUGAAGGAGAAACCCACUGCAAUACUCAGCCUUGCCGGAGGAUGUCGCUGGUCGGGCCAUGGGACUGACAGAGGCAGCUGGAGAAGAAGCAGCGGGUGCUGGGUGAAGGAGUGCAUGGCGGACGGCGUGCAGGAGAUCAGCUGGGACUGUGGGUGAUGUGCUUGUGACAGGCUGUUGUAGUGAGGAUCGUACUGCGUCGACCAGGGUGGUAAACGGGUCCGGAGUAUGAUCCCCGCCUGUGUCCAAGGUGCUCUGCAUAAGGUCUGGUCUUCUGUCAGGACACAGACAGAGGCAGAGGGGUGGAGGAAUCAACGUGGAGCGGAGAACAGGAGACUGAAGACAACUGGAUGAAGACAUGGGUAACUUGGGUAACUUAAGUAAGUAGCGGGUAAGAAGUCCAGUUACGUGAGACGAGACCAGACAAUGAUGUGAAGGGAGUGAGUGUCUUUAUAGUGUCCUAGAUGAUGAUGUGCGGGUGCAGGUGAUUAGUACUCGGGAGACUGUGAACGAGUGGGUGGAGCGUGAAGAUCUGGUGACAAUGCGUUGGUGUUGGUGGGUGUUGGCUGUGACUCCGUGACAAUAUAAUAAGUCUAAGACGGUUGUAUGAAUGCAUAUUUUAUCUCUCAUCUGAAGGAUCUGUCCGCAAUAGUAUAGACAUUUCAAAAUAAGAGUCCCGGUGUAUUUUGACCUUGUUUAUAAUUAAAAGUCUUUGUUUUUUUCUUCUUCUUCUGGGCAUUGUUGGUAUUUUGGUUACACAAUAAAUUGUAUUUAAUUUAAUUUCCAUUUAAUUCAUAGUAAAUUAUUGUAGUUUCUGUCUGGGAUGCCCCCCAUAGGAAGAAAAGACUAAAAACAUUAUUUGACACAUAUUAUUAAUAUAUAGAUUUUACUAGUGUCAGUAAAAUCUGUGUCCCAUUCACUGAGAGACACUAUAUGACAAAUCAAGGAGAACUCUACCAUUUAAAUGCUGUAAUUUUGCAUAAUUUACAAUGCAUAAUAUUGCAUAAUAUUAGUAUGUAAUUAAAUGUAAUAGUAGCCUAUAUAAUUGAAAUUAAUUAAUUCAUUAUUUAUUAAUUUAAUGUUCAUGUUUUGUUAAUUGUAAAAAUAAAUAAAUAAAUAAAUAAAUAAAUAAAAAUUACUAUGUGUUUCUCUGUUUUUACUGAAGCUCAACCCACCGACAUGAGCACACCAUAUUACCAGACACAGAGUUCGUCAGCAGAUUUGCACUGUUGUAUUGAUGCUUUUUGAUAAUUUUGGUUAUUGAUUUUUAUUGAUUUUAUUUUAUUUAUUUUUAAAUGAAGGUAUGUAUAAUUUCUUUCUUAUUAGUUAACAUUUAGUUAAGCAAUUUAAUUUGACUAAUUUUACUACUUUAUGGUUUAGUGGUCAUAAAUACAGCUUUUCAAAAUUGUAAAAAAAAAAAAAAAAUAAAAUACAGCUAUGUCUCUUAUAUCUUACAGAAACACAAACCCCCAACAUGAGGGGUUUGAGCUUCUAUUAGAUAUACAUGUAUGCAAAUAUGUAUUACAAGACACACAGAGAGUAAGUCAGUGGAUUUACAGUUUUGUAAUAAUAUAUUAUUUUGGAUAUUAAAGUAACAGCUUGCUUAUUUAUUUAUUUAUUUAUUUAUUUCAAUUUGAAAUGAACAUUACUAGCCCCAUAUAUGGCCACAUAUAUGACCACAUCAAAGGCAUGUCUAAUUUACUUCUUAUUGGUUAUUAGUGUUUCUAAAUUACAGUGAGACCUACACAACACAGUCAAUCUGGUAAAACAUCUCAUGUGCCCUGUGUCUCUCAAAACCUGUGAGUGUAACAGUAUAUUUUUUUCUGUACAUACAUGUUGAUUGUGUUUGCUUUCAGAUUUUGCUGCAGAUCAUCAUAAGGAAGGAGUAUAUUUAUUCUACAUCUGCUUUUCCUCCUUCAUUGCUGUUGGUCUCACCAUCAUGACUGUGGCACUGAUCGUCAGGAGAAAAGCUAAAAGUUCAGUGACUGCUGGGACAGAUAAUACUUUACUGAUAUAUGAGAACACAUCAGAGUUUCUGAAGAGGAAAGAAGAGGCAACCGAUCAAUUAAUCAAUUUAGACUGAUCCAAUAAUUUUCUGCAUGCUGAACUGUAACACCCUUUCAACAUAAAAGUAAAAUGCCUAUUAUAUUCAUUUUAUCUACAUCUUAUUUUAAUCAUGUUCAAAAUUGAAGGUUACUUUUACUAAAGUACAAUUAAUAACCAUGAAUUAAAUCUCUAUACUCUACUGUUGUACAAUUACACUUUUUCCCUAGCUUUUUAUUAUUCUGGUUUACUCUUGAAGUUCUGUAUUGCAAAUAUUUGUGGCUUUUGCAUUUAGCUUUUUCUUCUUCUUUGUAAUGGCGCUUUUCCACUGCAUGGUACGGCUCGGUACAGCUCACUGUUGGGGGGUUAUCCACUGUGUACAGUACCUCUCUACCUGGUACUUUUUUAGUACCACCCUGGUUGAGGUUCCAAGCCAUACCGAUUAGGGGUCAACCAAUUAUCGGCCUGGCCGAUUAUCGGUGCCAAUAUUCAGCAUUUUUAUGGUUAUCGGUCAUUUUCAAAACCGAUUUGCCGAUAGAAUAAUUUAAUUUUGAAAUGUGCUAUUUGGCUCUGAUGUAGCUACCUCUGUCGGAACUCACCAAGAUCAAUGUCUGCCCACCGCCCAUCAGAUUUGUUGGGAGUCACGAGUCCGGCCAAUCAGCACAGAAGGCUAAAGGCACUGAAAUUUUUGUACUCUCACAGAGCCCUUGUUAUUCUUAAUUUUGACGUUUUCAUUUUUACACCAGACAUAUAUAUAUAUAUAUAUAUCGUUCCAAAAUAUCGGUUAUCGGUCUACUUGAUCUGUAAUAAUCGGUAUCGGCACUGAAAAACAUAUAUUGGUCGACCCCUAAUACCGAUACUAAAAUGUGACGUGUAAACACAGCAGAUCACUAGCUAUGUUUCCAUCACCCUGUUUUUAUGCACAUUUUAAAGUAUCGCAUCAGAAGCAAGUGAUGGGAACGCCAAAUUUGUCUUUUUUUCUUUUUUUGCGAACUUUGAAAAGAUUCACUUCAGAUUUGGAUGAAAAUCCCAGCUACUGAUUGGUCAGAGAGAAUAGUCACUACCAGCAUCAAUGGAUUUGAAACACUAGACACCAAACCAACUAGAUUUAAUUAGUCAGCAACAGCCACCACAGUAUAAUUUGUUCGCACAACUUUUUUAAACGACUUGCUUUAAACGACCAUUGCAUGCAACUUGAAAAAAGAAAUGGCUGUAUCGUGGUCAGUAGACUCGUUGGUAGCCGAGUAAGUGCCAGACUCGUUGGUAGCCGAGGAGCGGAUCCACAGCAAUAGAGGCAGCGCAACUAUAACAAUCAGUCUAUAAUCCCACCCACUUUGAAGCACUACUAAACUGCAGUGGAAAAGUAAACUGAGCCAAAGUAAAGCAAGCCGAGCCGAGUCAUACCACACAGUGGAAAAUUGGCUUCAGUAAUUUAUAAGUGGGUGCAAAAUCAAUAAAUACCUUUUUACCAACUAUGCAUUUUACAUAAAUUCAUAUUUUAUGUUCUUAUGUGUGUCUUUACAUAUUUAUAUUUGACAUGCUUUCUACUAGAUCUGUUAUAAUAUUACUACUACUACUGUUAUUACAAAAAUCUGAAAAAACUUUCUUGUCACUUGCAUUUUCGAUUGUACUGCACAAUAAAAAAGUAAGA
Molecule: long non-coding RNA, 5829 nt
Organism: Ctenopharyngodon idella (grass carp)
Lineage: Eukaryota; Metazoa; Chordata; Actinopteri; Cypriniformes; Xenocyprididae
Exons: 3
Source: RefSeq, a predicted model, not a curated record